GUGUGUAGCUUAGUGGUAGAGUGUCUGCCUGCCAUGCCUAAGGCCCUGAGUUCAAAUCCUAGCACUCACA
This 70-nucleotide transfer RNA is filed under the name Rattus norvegicus (Norway rat). It matches the Rfam family "tRNA". From Rfam's summary of the family: Transfer RNA (tRNA) molecules are approximately 80 nucleotides in length. Their secondary structure includes four short double-helical elements and three loops (D, anti-codon, and T loops). Lineage: Eukaryota; Metazoa; Chordata; Mammalia; Rodentia; Muridae. The record is from Rfam by way of RNAcentral.